ACCACGUGAGACGCUGAGCAAGCGGAUCGCACGGCAAGAGACUCGCCCGCGCACGGCCAAAAGCCAUCCUGCAUCUUCACGGUUUUAUCCAACCGUCUCCUGGAAAACCGCAGCCUCCCAAGGAAGUCAAGUCGUCGCUUGCUCCUCCUCAACGCUGCCAUGCGCCGCCACCGUGACCCAGCCGUGAACCCGUAGCCUUCGAUAGCCAUCCCGCAGCCUCUGUUUUUCACUCCCGAAAUAGAGGAUGGUUCUCCUCCUACCGUGAGCCAUUGCAACCUUUAACCACCGUGAGCUUCUUCACGUUGCGGCUCCAGAAACCGCCGGCGAAGUUUUCCGUCACCCCAUUGCAUAGCCACCGAGUGCACUACCUCCUGUCGCACUUCACCAUCUCGGUGACGAUUAAUAUUUAUUCGGUAUUUUUUAGGAAAGUUCUGAAAAUCUAAGAAGUCCAGGUAAGCGAGGUUCCUAUACUAGACUUUGCAUUAAAAUAAAAUGAACUAAGGUCCUUCUUGGAAAAUGUGCAUGUUUGGUUAUGAAAAGAAAUCUGAAAACAACCUCAGAUAUUU
Juglans microcarpa x Juglans regia is the source of this 566-nucleotide long non-coding RNA. RefSeq lists it as uncharacterized. The record is from RefSeq and is a predicted model, not a curated record. The transcript has 3 exons. NCBI's taxonomy places the organism in Eukaryota, Viridiplantae, Streptophyta, Magnoliopsida, Fagales, Juglandaceae.